RNAcentral lists this ribosomal RNA (484 nucleotides) under uncultured bacterium. RNAcentral's name for it is "partial 16S ribosomal RNA". It matches the Rfam family "Bacterial small subunit ribosomal RNA", at positions 30 to 507 of the family's 1533-position model. The record is from RNAcentral.
AUUGAACGCUGGCGGCAGGCCUAACACAUGCAAGUCGAGCGGAUGAAGGGAGCUUGCUCCUGGAUUCAGCGGCGGACGGGUGAGUAAUGCCUAGGAAUCUGCCUGGUAGUGGGGGAUAACGUCCGGAAACGGGCGCUAAUACCGCAUACGUCCUGAGGGAGAAAGUGGGGGAUCUUCAGACCUCACGCUAUCAGAUGAGCCUAGGUCGGAUUAGCUAGUUGGUGGGGUAAAGGCCUACCAAGGCGACGAUCCGUAACUGGUCUGAGAGGAUGAUCAGUCACACUGGAACUGAGACACGGUCCAGACUCCUACGGGAGGCAGCAGUGGGGAAUAUUGGACAAUGGGCGAAAGCCUGAUCCAGCCAUGCCGCGUGUGUGAAGAAGGUCUUCGGAUUGUAAAGCACUUUAAGUUGGGAGGGAGGGCAGUAAGUUAAUACCUUGCUGUUUUGACGUUACCAACAGAAUAAGCACCGGCUAACUUCGUG